GGCCUCGUAGUUAAAUGGAUAGAAUUCAAGAUUCCGGUUCUUGAGGUGGGGGUUCGAAUCCCUCCGAGGUCA
This 72-nucleotide transfer RNA is filed under the name Bacteroidales bacterium OttesenSCG-928-K03. Its description in RNAcentral is "tRNA-Arg". It matches the Rfam family "tRNA". Rfam says of the family: Transfer RNA (tRNA) molecules are approximately 80 nucleotides in length. Their secondary structure includes four short double-helical elements and three loops (D, anti-codon, and T loops). RNAcentral also lists the same sequence under 1 other name. The record is from RNAcentral. Lineage: Bacteria; Pseudomonadati; Bacteroidota; Bacteroidia; Bacteroidales.